GCUCGGAAUCUUGGGCAAUGGGCGAAAGCCUGACCCAGCGACACCGCGUGGGGGAAGAAGGCCUAUGGGCUGUAAACCCCUUUUCUGGGGGAAGAGGAAGGACGGUACCCCAGGAAUAAGCCCCGGCUAACUACGUGCCAGCAGCCGCGGUGAUACGUAGGGGGCGAGCGUUACCCGGAUUUACUGGGCGUAAAGAGCGCGUAGGCGGCUUGGUAAGUCCUUUGUGAAAUCUCCCGGCUCAACUGGGAGGGUGCAAGGGAAACUGUUAAACUUGAGGGCAGCAGAGGAGAGUGGAAUUCCCGGUGUAGCGGUGAUAUGCGUAGAUAUUGGGAAGAACUCCAGUGGCGAAGGCGGCUCUCUGGGCUGUUUCUGACGCUGAGGCGCGAAAGCGUGGGUAGCAAACCGA
This 406-nucleotide ribosomal RNA is filed under the name uncultured bacterium. RNAcentral's name for it is "bacterial SSU rRNA". It matches the Rfam family "Bacterial small subunit ribosomal RNA", at positions 354 to 776 of the family's 1533-position model. The record is from RNAcentral.